This 294-nucleotide ribosomal RNA is filed under the name Triticum aestivum (bread wheat). Its description in RNAcentral is "partial small subunit ribosomal RNA". Lineage: Eukaryota; Viridiplantae; Streptophyta; Magnoliopsida; Poales; Poaceae. The record is from RNAcentral.
GGCCGCAUCGAUCUAGUUAAAACAAUACUGUCCGCUAUGCCCAUAUUCCAGAUGAUAGCCCUGCAUAUGCCUGCUUGGUUGAUUAAACUGAUCGACUAAGUGCGCCGCAGGUUUCUAUGGGGCGAGCAGGAGAUCUCCUCGGACGGCAAGUGUCUUGCCAAUUGGAAGCUGGUUUGCCGACCAACUGAGUUUGGCGGCCUCAAUAUCUUAGACCUAACCAAGCACAGCGUAGCCCUGCGUGUUCGGUGGCUGUGGCAAGCUUGGACCAACCCAAACAAGCCAUGGCUUGGGCUU